GCAGCACGGUCGCCGCCGCCGCUGUCGGUGCUGGAGAUCGCGGCUCGGUGCAGGCGGCGCCCAUGCCUCCUCUCCUCCACUAGCCCGCGCGCCAGUCCGCCUGCCGGGGCCGGCUCUCCGCCUCCUGCCUCCCGUCGCAGCCGCGCAGCCGCCGCAGAGCCCGCGGCGCCACCGCUCGCCCUCUAGUCUCUGAUCUUCACUGGCAUACUGGGUCCCUCGGAAAAGUGGAAGACAUGAAGUAUGGAUGCAUAUAAUACCCGAGGAAGUCUCAAAGGUUCUGCCACUUGCUGGGAAAACAGCAACAGAAGGAUAUUAAGGAGCCACCCCUAUAAUUUACCCAGAUAGCCCCAGCAAGGUCAAAGACAUAUCGUGUCCCAAGGAGAAAA
Molecule: small RNA, 386 nt
Filed under: Pan troglodytes (chimpanzee)
Lineage: Eukaryota; Metazoa; Chordata; Mammalia; Primates; Hominidae
Description: processed transcript
Source: RNAcentral